GACGAACGCUGGCGGCGUGCUUAACACAUGCAAGUCGAACGGAAAGGCCCUGCUUUUGUGGGGUGCUCGAGUGGCGAACGGGUGAGUAACACGUGAGUAACCUGCCCUUGACUUUGGGAUAACUUCAGGAAACUGGGGCUAAUACCGGAUAGGAGCUCCUGCUGCAGGGUGGGGGUUGGAAAGUUUUGGGGGUUGGGGAUGGACUCGCGGCUUAUAAGCUUGUUGGUGGGGGAGGGGCUUACCAAGGCUUUGCCGGGUAGCCGGCCUGGGGGGGUGACCGGCCCCAUUGGGACUGUGAUACGGCCCAGACUCCUACGGGAGGCAGCAGUGGGGAAUAUUGCACAAUGGGCGGAAGCCUGAUGCAGCAACGCCGCGUGCGGGAUGACGGCCUUCGGGUUGUAAACCGCUUUCGCCUGUGACGAAGCGUGAGUGACGGUAAUGGGUAAAGAAGCACCGGCUAACUACGUG
This 468-nucleotide ribosomal RNA is filed under the name uncultured bacterium. Its description in RNAcentral is "partial 16S ribosomal RNA". It matches the Rfam family "Bacterial small subunit ribosomal RNA", at positions 28 to 507 of the family's 1533-position model. The record is from RNAcentral.